This 249-nucleotide ribosomal RNA is filed under the name uncultured bacterium. RNAcentral's name for it is "partial 16S ribosomal RNA". It matches the Rfam family "Bacterial small subunit ribosomal RNA", at positions 524 to 765 of the family's 1533-position model. The record is from RNAcentral.
UACGGAGGGUGCGAGCGUUUGUCCGGAAUCACUGGGCGUAAAGGGUGCGUAGGCGGGUCUUUUAAGUCAGGGGUGAAAUCCUGGAGCUCAACUCCAGAACUGCCUUUGAUACUGAGGAUCUUGAGUUCGGGAGAGGUGAGUGGAACUGCGAGUGUAGAGGUGAAAAUUCGUAGAUAUUCGCAAGAACACCCAGUGGCGAAAGGCGGCUCACUUGGCCCGAUAACUGACGCUGAGGCACGAAAGCGUGGG